This is a long non-coding RNA of Lathyrus oleraceus (garden pea), 276 nucleotides long. RefSeq lists it as uncharacterized. Lineage: Eukaryota; Viridiplantae; Streptophyta; Magnoliopsida; Fabales; Fabaceae. The record is from RefSeq and is a predicted model, not a curated record. The transcript has 2 exons.
ACAGCUCAUCCUGGGAUUUUCAGCCAGAAAGACAGAGCUAAAUGGGAUGCAUGGAAGGCUGUUGAAGGAAAAUCCAAGGAUGAAGCAAUGAGUGAUUACAUCACUAAGGUGAAACAGCUGCUCGAAGAAGCUGGUCUUUCUGCUUAACAACAUUGUCAUGUCUAGCUUUCUAGUUCUAUGCUAAAAGUUUCUAUGUAUUUUGAAAAUAAAACAGUUGCAGUGUUUGAUGUUUGAUCUAAAACUUUUAAUAUAUAAUCUUAAUUGUUCUGUAUUGAA